Long non-coding RNA from Onychomys torridus (southern grasshopper mouse), 172 nucleotides. RefSeq lists it as uncharacterized. NCBI's taxonomy places the organism in Eukaryota, Metazoa, Chordata, Mammalia, Rodentia, Cricetidae. The transcript is spliced from 2 exons. The record is from RefSeq and is a predicted model, not a curated record.
GGGCUCAUACCUGGGUCCUCUGGAAGACUGUUUGGAUGCUGGGACUGACCAGGAAGAUCUUGGACCAGGAAGAAGAUCAGUGUGGGACAUAGCUUGGCUUUCCUAAACCCUACGAUAAAUACCCAUGCUGGAAUUAGUUACCCCCCCCCAAUAAAUUCCUUUGUUCAUUAAA